This 234-nucleotide unclassified non-coding RNA is filed under the name uncultured Paraglomus. RNAcentral describes it as "sequence contains 18S rRNA gene". It matches the Rfam family "Eukaryotic small subunit ribosomal RNA", at positions 569 to 808 of the family's 1831-position model. The record is from RNAcentral. Lineage: Eukaryota; Fungi; Glomeromycota; Glomeromycetes; Paraglomerales; Paraglomeraceae.
AGCAGCCGCGGUAAUUCCAGCUCCAAUAGCGUAUAUUAAAGUUGUUGCAGUUAAAAGCUCGUAGUUGAAUUUCGGGAUCAGUACGCUGGUCGUGCCUUUGGUAUGUACUGGUGUCACUGAUUCCUCCCUUCUGAAGAACCGUUAUGCCAUUUAUUUGGUGUGGCGGGAAAUCAGGACUGUUACUUUAGAAAAAUUAGAGUAGUUUAAAGCAGGCUCGCGCUUGAAUACAUUAGC